UCGAUCCUGCCAGUAGCAUACGCUUGCUCAAAGAUUAAGCCAAUGCAAUGUCUAAGUAUAAAUGAGUUUAUACAUGAAACUGCGAAUGGCUCAUUAUAUCAGUUAUAGUUUCUUUGAUGGUCCUUACUACUUGGAUAACCGUAGUAAUUCUAGAGCUAAUACAUGCGUCAAACCCUGACUUCUGGAAAGGGUGUAGUUUAUUAGAUGGGAAACCAAUGCGGGGCAACCCGGGUAUAUGGUGAUUCAUAAUAACUUUCGGAUCGACUUCGGUCGAUGCAUCAUUCAAGUUUCUGCCCUAUCAGCUUUGGAUGGUAGGGUAUUGGCCUACCAUGGCUUUAACGGGUAACGGAGAAUUAGGGUUCGAUUCCGGAGAGGGAGCCUGAGAAACGGCUACCACAUCCAAGGAAGGCAGCAGGCGCGUAAAUUACCCAAUCCUGACAUAGGGAGGUAGUGACAAUAAAUAACAAUGCCGGGCUUUUCAAAGUCUGGCAAUUGGAAUGAGAACAAUUUAAAUCCCUUAUCGAGGAUCAAUUGGAGGGCAAGUC
This 545-nucleotide ribosomal RNA is filed under the name uncultured eukaryote. Its description in RNAcentral is "SSU rRNA". It matches the Rfam family "Eukaryotic small subunit ribosomal RNA", at positions 8 to 561 of the family's 1831-position model. The record is from RNAcentral.